UACGUAGGGCGCAAGCGUUAUCCGGAAUUAUUGGGCGUAAAGAGCUCGUAGGCGGUUUGUCGCGUCUGCUGUGAAAACCUAGGGCUUAACCCUGGGCCUGCAGUGGGUACGGGCAGACUAGAGUGCGGUAGGGGAGACUGGAAUUCCUGGUGUAGCGGUGAAAUGCGCAGAUAUCAGGAGGAACACCGGUGGCGAAGGCGGGUCUCUGGGCAGUAACUGACGCUGAGGAGCGAAAGCGUGGGGAGCGAACAGG
RNAcentral lists this ribosomal RNA (253 nucleotides) under uncultured bacterium. RNAcentral describes it as "partial 16S ribosomal RNA". It matches the Rfam family "Bacterial small subunit ribosomal RNA", at positions 524 to 776 of the family's 1533-position model. The record is from RNAcentral.